AUGGAGGCCCCAGCUCCGAAGCCCUGAUCAUGAAUUUCGGGCUGCUCCUCCAUGUUCCAGAGCAAGAAGGCCUGGCGGAGAGGUGAAGUCAGUUCUGCCCAUAGCAAGCCAGGAGGUGUCGGGCAACCUGCCUGAGAAGGAGGGGAAGGAGCCAGCAGGGGCGCCUCCGGAAAAACAGGGGCCUCAGACAGGUGACAGCCACUUUAUCCAGAUCCUGCAGUUGAAGGAAGAAUACCUGCAGAGAGCCACAGGACCCCGUGAGGUCAGCCCUGAGCCCUCCACCAGGGAGAAGGAGUGUCUGCUUGAAGGAUCACCACCCAUUCACAGGAGACUGCGUGUUGGCCUCUUCCAGGGUGGAGGCAACUCCUUGGAACCACUUCCACAGUUUGGACAAGGAGCUUCAAAACUCGGCCAUGGCCAAGAGCUCAUUCAUCCCAGGCAUUGUUGCCCUCCAGUCGCCACUGAACAAGGCUUUCAGAGCCACAGACACAGUGGGGGCUUCCGCCCUUCCCCUCCCACGUGCCCCCAGGCCCAGGAAGCCUCGCUUUGGGUUUCCUGGAGUCGGAGUUGAAGAAGCUUCUGGGAAUGCAGCAAGAGUCCCGCCUCUGGAAGCUAGGCAGCCAAGAGGGCCGAGAGCUGCUUACCCGGCCAGAGAUCACCCUGGUGGAGGUGAGCACUGUGGAUGGCCAGGUACGCUUGGCCCGUGCCAGACCACCAGCCCCUUCCUGGGUGUCCUCGGGUGCUUGUCUCUGGGGGGCAGGGAGAAGGUUAUGAGGUGCAGAGAAGACUGAGGCAUCUUCCUUCACCCAUUUCUGUCGCCCAGUGCCUGCUUCUUGAGGAGAAGGGUGAGAUGGGAAACUGGCCUCCGGAGUGA
Molecule: small RNA, 874 nt
Filed under: Pan troglodytes (chimpanzee)
Lineage: Eukaryota; Metazoa; Chordata; Mammalia; Primates; Hominidae
Description: transcribed unitary pseudogene
Source: RNAcentral